This 1720-nucleotide unclassified non-coding RNA is filed under the name uncultured fungus. RNAcentral's name for it is "sequence contains 18S rRNA gene, ITS1, 5.8S rRNA gene, ITS2, 28S rRNA gene". The stretch from base 479 to 1720 matches the Rfam family "Eukaryotic large subunit ribosomal RNA", at positions 1 to 1140 of the family's 3401-position model. Lineage: Eukaryota; Fungi. The record is from RNAcentral.
GGAAGGAUCAUUAACAGGAUGGACCCGGCUCGCCGGUGCUCUGCCUACCUUGCAUAAUCUACCUUUGUUGCUUUGGCGGGGCGCCUCACGGCCAGCGGCUCCGGCUGCUGCGCCCCCGCCAGAGGACCCUAACUCUUGAUUUUAGUGAUGUCUGAGUACUAUAUAAUAGUUAAAACUUUCAACAACGGAUCUCUUGGUUCUGGCAUCGAUGAAGAACGCAGCGAAAUGCGAUAAGUAAUGUGAAUUGCAGAAUUUAGUGAAUCAUCGAAUCUUUGAACGCACAUUGCGCCCUUUGGUAUUCCGAAGGGCAUGCCUGUUCGAGCGUCAUUACAACCACUCAAGCCUUGGCUUGGUCUUGGGGUUCGCGAUCUCGCGGCCCCUAAAAUCAGUGGCGGUGCCGGUCGGCUCUACGCGUAGUAAUACUCCUCGCGACAGGGUCCGGACGGUGUCUUGCCAGCAACCCCCCAUUUUUUCAGGUUGACCUCGGAUCAGGUAGGGAUACCCGCUGAACUUAAGCAUAUCAAUAAGCGGAGGAAAAGAAACCAACAGGGAUUACCUCAGUAACGGCGAGUGAAGCGGUAACAGCUCAAAUUUGAAAGCUGGCUCUUUUAGGGCUCGCAUUGUAAUUUGUAGAAGAUGCUUCGGGUGUGGCCCCGGUCUAAGUUCCUUGGAACAGGACGUCAUAGAGGGUGAGAAUCCCGUAUGUGACUGGGUGCUUCCGCUCAUGUGAAGCUCUUUCGACGAGUCGAGUUGUUUGGGAAUGCAGCUCAAAAUGGGUGGUAAAUUUCAUCUAAAGCUAAAUAUUGGCCAGAGACCGAUAGCGCACAAGUAGAGUGAUCGAAAGAUGAAAAGCACUUUGGAAAGAGAGUUAAACAGUACGUGAAAUUGUUGAAAGGGAAGCGCUUGCAACCAGACUUGCGCGCUGAUGAUCAUCCGGGCUUCUGUCCGGUGCACUCGUCUGCGCUCAGGCCAGCAUCGGUUUCGGUGGUGGGAUAAAGGCCUUGGGAAUGUAGCUUCUUUCGGGGAGUGUUAUAGCCCUCGGUGCAAUGCCGCCUACCGGGACCGAGGACCGCGCUUCGGCUAGGAUGCUGGCGUAAUGGUUGUAAGCGACCCGUCUUGAAACACGGACCAAGGAGUCUAACAUCUAUGCGAGUGUUUGGGUGUUAAACCCAUACGCGUAAUGAAAGUGAACGGAGGUGAGAACCCUUAAGGGUGCAUCAUCGACCGAUCCUGAUGUCUUCGGAUGGAUUUGAGUAAGAGCAUAGCUGUUGGGACCCGAAAGAUGAUGAACUAUGCGUGAAUAGGGUGAAGCCAGAGGAAACUCUGGUGGAGGCUCGCAGCGGUUCUGACGUGCAAAUCGAUCGUCAAAUUUGCGUAUAGGGGCGAAAGACUAAUCGAACCAUUGGGUUGCUAGGUGGUUAAGAGGCCCCCGCGAGGGGUGCUUAGUCCCGCGAGGGGCGACACUAUCAAAUUGCGGGGACGUCCCGUUCUAAAUUCGCCGCUACCGCCGCCGCGCCGAAAGGCCCGGCGCGCACCAGGUUAACGACCUCGGGUAUGGUAACAACGCGGCGAUAGGGAUGAUCCGCAGCCAACUCCUACGGGCCGCCGCGCCUACGGAGGCAGUUCACAGGCUAGAUGUUAGUGGGUCCGAUGCUGGACUUAAGAUAUAGUCGAUCCACCGGGAGACCGGAUGGGGCAGAUGCUAGUAGCUGGUUCCUGC